UCUUGUGGAGCUUCUGCAGGAAAAUGAUAGCGACGUGAUCAGGAUGACCAUUCUCCUACUCUGAUAUUUAUUCCUGGAUAAUGGUACCCCAAUACCCAGCUCCCUCGCCCUGCAGCUGGCUGAGGCGCUCCUGCCACUCUUUGACCGUGAUGAUAGCCAGGUGCAGCUGAGCUCCAUGAUGGUCUUUCAAGAGAUGCUGGAGUUAUUAUCGGAAGAUGGAAAACAUGCCCUGAAGUCACCCGUGCACCACAGCCUGCUGCCACUCUACUUCCACUGCCAUGAAGAGAAUCAGAUUGUUGCUGAGUAUUCUCGGGAAACGCUGCUUUGUGCAGCCAAGUUCCUGAAGAGGAGGGACAUCAAAAAGCUGGUGAAGGAGGCGAAAAUGUGGAAGUUCAGCAAGUGCCUGGUAAGGACGACAGAGAAUCCCCAGCCUCAGCCUG
This is a long non-coding RNA of Passer domesticus (house sparrow), 440 nucleotides long. RefSeq lists it as uncharacterized. The transcript has 3 exons. Lineage: Eukaryota; Metazoa; Chordata; Aves; Passeriformes; Passeridae. The record is from RefSeq and is a predicted model, not a curated record.